CCCCAUUUGUUUUUUUGUGUCUCUUCUCCUGUUGGACCAUGAAUUAGAUUCCCUAGAAAGAUGCAGAUGAAUCUCCUGCUCUUCGUCUUUCCAUUGCUGAUGUUUCACUGCUGUGCAUGUGUUUCAGUGUCGCAGAUUCCCAGAGUGUUAACUGUGGGCCGAGGGGAUACCGCAGCGCUAACCUGUCAACAGGAAGACACUGAUUCCAUUACAAUGCUCUGGUACCGGCAGUAUACUGGACAGGGCCUGCAUCUUGUGGUGAUCGACGUAUCUGGGAAUAAACCGACCUUCGAGGCAGGAUUCGAGACGCGAUUCGAUGUGGUGAGACGCAAUCCGAAAACGUCCAUUCUAAAAAUUCUCACUUUAGACCAGAGUGAUACGGCGAUCUAUUUCUGCGCUGCAAGUGAUCAUAGUAUUUCAAACCUGUUAUGCAGCACGACAAUAACCAUUUCAAGAGCUAUCGUUUCCGUUUGUCUCUUUUCGAUGUCAAUUUCCGACUUUCCUUCACGUGUUUGCAUGUAAACGUCUACACCGAGAUCGUCCAUCUACACAACAAUGAACGGUUUGGAAGACUGAUAGAAAGCGGGCCAGGUGGAAGCCAUAAUCGUAGAAUGGCAUGCAGUGAGGAGUGAAUGCACCGUCCUGUGUAGCACAACAUUUCCCACUCCCACCUCCCAAAAAAAACCGGCACCUGGUCAAGCGUUACAAACAACUUUAUUAGGUAUGAGGAAAUACGAAGAUUUAUGAAAUACAAUUUUUCUGAAGAAUGGGGACAGACAAUCUAAAUAAAGAAUGCAGUUCUAUAAGGCGUAUGGGAGCAGAGGAGUUGUGGUAUUUGUGCAUAGAGAGGGAAACGCUGACUGAUGUUACGUGAUAUGUUAAAAGACCAUAAGACACAGGAGCAGAAAUUAGGCCAUACAGCCCAUCAAGUCAGCUCUGCCAGUCAAUCAUGACUGAUAAGUUCCUCAACCCUAUUCUCCUGUUUUCUCCUCAUAACCCUUGAUCUCCUUGAUAAUCAAGAAUCUAUAUAUCUCAGUCUUAAAUGUAUUC
Molecule: non-coding RNA, 1050 nt
Organism: Stegostoma tigrinum
Lineage: Eukaryota; Metazoa; Chordata; Chondrichthyes; Orectolobiformes; Stegostomatidae
Source: the annotation of a RefSeq genome assembly